Molecule: ribosomal RNA, 253 nt
Filed under: uncultured bacterium
Lineage: Bacteria
Description: partial 16S ribosomal RNA
Rfam family: Bacterial small subunit ribosomal RNA
Source: RNAcentral
UACGGAGGGGACUAGCGUUGUUCGGAAUUACUGGGCGUAAAGCGCACGUAGGCGGAUUUGUAAGUCAGGGGUGAAAUCCCGGGGCUCAACCCCGGAACUGCCUUUGAUACUGCGAAUCUCGAGUCCGGAAGAGGUGAGUGGAAUUCCUAGUGUAGAGGUGAAAUUCGCAGAUAUCAGGAGGAACACCGGUGGCGAAGGCGGGUCUCUGGGCCGUAACUGACGCUGAGGAGCGAAAGCGUGGGGAGCGAACAGG